This 253-nucleotide ribosomal RNA is filed under the name uncultured bacterium. RNAcentral's name for it is "partial 16S ribosomal RNA". It matches the Rfam family "Bacterial small subunit ribosomal RNA", at positions 524 to 776 of the family's 1533-position model. The record is from RNAcentral.
UACGGAGGGGGCUAGCGUUGUUCGGAAUUACUGGGCGUAAAGCGCACGUAGGCGGCUUUGUAAGUUAGAGGUGAAAGCCCAGGGCUUAACCCUGGAAUUGCCUUUAAGACUGCAUCGCUAGAAUUGUGGAGAGGUAAGUGGAAUUCCGAGUGUAGAGGUGAAAUUCGUAGAUAUUCGGAAGAACACCAGUGGCGAAGGCGGCUCACUGGCCCGAUACUGACGCUGAGGCACGAAAGCGUGGGGAGCAAACAGG